RNAcentral lists this ribosomal RNA (377 nucleotides) under uncultured crenarchaeote. RNAcentral describes it as "partial 16S ribosomal RNA". It matches the Rfam family "Archaeal small subunit ribosomal RNA", at positions 330 to 709 of the family's 1478-position model. Lineage: Archaea; Thermoproteati; Thermoproteota. The record is from RNAcentral.
GUGCAGCAGUCGCGAAAACUCCGCAAUACGCGAAAGCGUGACGGGGCCAUCCCGAGUGCCGUCCGCUUAGGAUGGCUUUUCCCUAGUGUAAAUAGCUGGGGGAGUAAGGAGAGGGCAAGUCGGGUGUCAGCCGCCGCGGUAAUACCAGCUCUUCGAGUGGUGGGGAUGUUUAUUGGGCCUGAAGCAUCCGUAGCCGGCCGGGCAAAUCCUCCGUUAAAUCCAGCGAUUCAAUCGUUGGAUUGCGAGGGAUACGGUGCGGCUAGGGGGGGGGAGAGGCCAACGGUAUUCCCGGGGUAGGGGUGAAAUCCUAUAAUCCCGGGAGGACCACCAGUGGCGAAGGCUGUUCGCUAGAACACGCCCGACGGUGAGGGAUGAAA